ACCAGCACUAAUGCACCGGAUCCCAU
This 26-nucleotide small nuclear RNA is filed under the name Arabidopsis thaliana (thale cress). RNAcentral's name for it is "snRNA_17701". Lineage: Eukaryota; Viridiplantae; Streptophyta; Magnoliopsida; Brassicales; Brassicaceae. The record is from RNAcentral.